RNAcentral lists this ribosomal RNA (774 nucleotides) under uncultured Neocallimastigales. RNAcentral describes it as "partial large subunit ribosomal RNA". It matches the Rfam family "Eukaryotic large subunit ribosomal RNA", at positions 23 to 616 of the family's 3401-position model. The record is from RNAcentral. Lineage: Eukaryota; Fungi; Neocallimastigomycota; Neocallimastigomycetes; Neocallimastigales.
ACACGCAUGACACACUGCAUAUCAAUAAGCGGAGGAAAAGAAACUAACUAGGAUUCCCCUCAGUAACGGCGAGUGAAGCGGGAAGAGCUCAAAUUUGAAAUCUUCAAGGUUUUACCUUGACGAAUUGUAGUUUAUAGAAGUGUUUUCUGUUAGUGGUUUGGUAAAAGUUCUUUGGAAUAGGACAUCAUAGAGGGUGAGAAUCCCGUAUUUGACCAUUACUUCCAGCGUUGUGAUACACUUUCAAAGAGUCGGAUUGUUUGGGAAUGCAGUCCAAAAUGGGUGGUAAAUUUCAUCUAAAGCUAAAUAUUGGCGAGAGACCGAUAGCGAACAAGUACCGUGAGGGAAAGAUGAAAAGAACUUUGAAAAGAGAGUUAAACAGUACGUGAAAUUGUCAAAAGGGAAGCGUUUGACACCAGUGUUGUUUUCUCGAAAAUCAAUUAAAAAGAGUUGGAUUUUGUAUUGUUAAGACCUUAUCAGCUUACUGUACUUUUUUCUUGCUCUUUUUAAUGCACUUUUCGUUUACAAGUCAACAUCAAUUUCUUUUGUUGUAAAAGGGUCAUUGGAAGGUGGCUUUCACUUCGGUGAAAGUGUUUAUAGCCUUUGGCUUCUACAAUCGGAGAGAUUGAGGUCUGCAGCGUAGAUCCUUCGGGGUUAGAUACGUAGAUGCUAAGUUAUAGUUUUUUAUAGACAACUUGUUGACUAUGAUUAAUCAUGUAGCUUACUCGUUUGCGCUAUUUUACCUACGCUUAGGAUGUUGAGCGCAUGUCUCUCUCU